CCCAUUGCCGCGUGCUAUACAUGCAAGUCGAGCGGACCGACGGGAGCUUGCUCCCUUAGGUCAGCGGCGGACGGGUGAGUAACACGUGGGUAACCUGCCUGUAAGACUGGGAUAACUCCGGGAAACCGGGGCUAAUACCGGAUGCUUGAUUGAACCGCAUGGUUCAAUCAUAAAAGGUGGCUUUUAGCUACCACUUACAGAUGGACCCGCGGCGCAUUAGCUAGUUGGUGAGGUAACGGCUCACCAAGGCGACGAUGCGUAGCCGACCUGAGAGGGUGAUCGGCCACACUGGGACUGAGACACGGCCCAGACUCCUACGGGAGGCAGCAGUAGGGAAUCUUCCGCAAUGGACGAAAGUCUGACGGAGCAACGCCGCGUGAGUGAUGAAGGUUUUCGGAUCGUAAAACUCUGUUGUUAGGGAAGAACAAGUACCGUUCGAAUAGGGCGGCACCUUGACGGUACCUAACCAGAAAGCCACGGCUAACUACGUGCCAGCAGCCGCGGUAAUACGUAGGUGGCAAGCGUUGUCCGGAAUUAUUGGGCGUAAAGCGCGCGCAGGCGGUUUCUUAAGUCUGAUGUGAAAGCCCCCGGCUCAACCGGGGAGGGUCAUUGGAAACUGGGGAACUUGAGUGCAGAAGAGGAGAGUGGAAUUCCACGUGUAGCGGUGAAAUGCGUAGAGAUGUGGAGGAACACCAGUGGCGAAGGCGACUCUCUGGUCUGUAACUGACGCUGAGGCGCGAAAGCGUGGGGAGCGAACAGGAUUAGAUACCCUGGUAGUCCACGCCGUAAACGAUGAGUGC
RNAcentral lists this ribosomal RNA (800 nucleotides) under Bacillus licheniformis. RNAcentral describes it as "bacterial SSU rRNA". It matches the Rfam family "Bacterial small subunit ribosomal RNA", at positions 34 to 816 of the family's 1533-position model. The record is from RNAcentral. Lineage: Bacteria; Bacillati; Bacillota; Bacilli; Caryophanales; Bacillaceae.